Molecule: ribosomal RNA, 468 nt
Filed under: uncultured bacterium
Lineage: Bacteria
Description: partial 16S ribosomal RNA
Rfam family: Bacterial small subunit ribosomal RNA
Source: RNAcentral
GACGAACGCUGGCGGCGUGCUUAACACAUGCAAGUCGAACGGAACGGCCCUGCUUUUGUGGGGUGCUCGAGUGGCGAACGGGUGAGUAACACGUGAGUAACCUGCCCUUGACUUUGGGAUAACUUCAGGCAACUGGGGCUAAUACCGGAUAGGAGCUCCUGCUGCAUGGUGGGGGUUGGAAAGUUUCGGCGGUUGGGGAUGGACUCGCGGCUUAUCGGCUUGGUGGUGGGGUAGUGGAUUACCAAGGCUUUGAAGGGUAGCCGGCCUGAGAGGGUGACCGGCCACAUUGGGACUGAGAUGCGGCCCAGACUCCUACGGGAGGCAGCAGUGGAGAAUAGUGUACAAUGGGCUGAAGCCUGAUGCAGCAACGCCGCGUGCGGGAUGACGGCCUUGGGUUUGUAAACCGCUUUCGCCUGUGACGAAGCGUGAGUGACGGUAAUGGGUAAAGAAGCACCGGCUAACUACGUG